GAUGAACGCUAGCUACAGGCUUAACACAUGCAAGUCGAGGGGAAACGAUAUUGGAAGCUUGCUUCCGAUAGGCGUCGACCGGCGCACGGGUGAGUAACGCGUAUCCAACCUGCCCAUCACUUGGGGAUAACCUUGCGAAAGUAAGACUAAUACCCAAUGACGUCUCUAGAAGACAUCUGAAGGAGAUUAAAGAUUUAUCGGUGAUGGAUGGGGGAUGCGUCUGAUUAGCUUGUUGGCGGGGUAACGGCCCACCAAGGCGACGAUCAGUAGGGGUUCUGAGAGGAAGGUCCCCCACAUUGGAACUGAGACACGGUCCAAACUCCUACGGGAGGCAGCAGUGAGGAAUAUUGGUCAAUGGGCGAGAGCCUGAACCAGCCAAGUAGCGUGCAGGAUGACGGCCCUAUGGGUUGUAAACUGCUUUUAUAAGGGAAUAAAGUGGGAGUCGUGACUCUUUUUGCAUGUACCUUAUGAAUAAGGACCGGCUAAUUCCGUGCC
Molecule: ribosomal RNA, 495 nt
Filed under: uncultured bacterium
Lineage: Bacteria
Description: bacterial SSU rRNA
Rfam family: Bacterial small subunit ribosomal RNA
Source: RNAcentral